AUACUUAACCUGGCAGGGGAGAUAACAUGAUCAGGAAGAUGGUGAAGAUGGUUUUCCCAUGGUGAGACUUACCCAUUGUACUGUGGAUGUGCUGACCCCUGCUAUUUCCCGAGAUGAGGGAAAGUGGACUACAAAAUUUGUGGUACUGGGAGACUUUGUUCUCGCUCUCUCCUG
Cricetulus griseus (Chinese hamster) is the source of this 174-nucleotide small nuclear RNA. Its record names the gene U1. It matches the Rfam family "U1 spliceosomal RNA". From Rfam's summary of the family: U1 is a small nuclear RNA (snRNA) component of the spliceosome (involved in pre-mRNA splicing). Its 5' end forms complementary base pairs with the 5' splice junction, thus defining the 5' donor site of an intron. There are significant differences in sequence and secondary structure between metazoan and yeast U1 snRNAs, the latter being much longer (568 nucleotides as compared to 164 nucleotides in human). The record is from Ensembl. NCBI's taxonomy places the organism in Eukaryota, Metazoa, Chordata, Mammalia, Rodentia, Cricetidae.